Molecule: transfer RNA, 63 nt
Filed under: Hippodamia convergens (convergent lady beetle)
Lineage: Eukaryota; Metazoa; Arthropoda; Insecta; Coleoptera; Coccinellidae
Description: tRNA-His
Source: RNAcentral
UACUUAAAUAGUUUAAUAAAAAUAUUGAUUUGUGGAAUCAGAGAUAUUAAUUUAAUUUUAAGU